GGGACAAUGGGCGCAAGCCUGAUCCAGCCAUGCCGCGUGAGUGAGGAAGGCCCUAGGGCUGUAAAGCUCUUUCAAUGGUGAAGAUAAUGACGGUAACCGCAGAAGCAGCCCCGGCUAACUUCGUGCAAUCAGCCGCGGUAAUACGAAGGGGGCUAACGUUGUUCGGAAUUACCGGGCGUAAAGCGCACGUAGGCGGUUUGGUCAGUAAGGGAUGAAAUCCCAGGGCUCAACCCUGGAACUGCCUUUAAUACUGCCGGGCUAGAGUGCGAGAGAGGUGAGUGGAAUUCCGAGUGUAGAGGUGAAAUUCGUAGAUAUUCGGAGGAACACCAGUGGCGAAGGCGGCUCACUGGCUCGAUACUGACGCUGAGGUGCGAAAGCGUGGGGAGCAAACA
This 392-nucleotide ribosomal RNA is filed under the name uncultured bacterium. Its description in RNAcentral is "partial 16S ribosomal RNA". It matches the Rfam family "Bacterial small subunit ribosomal RNA", at positions 365 to 774 of the family's 1533-position model. The record is from RNAcentral.